This 465-nucleotide ribosomal RNA is filed under the name Vreelandella stevensii. RNAcentral describes it as "partial 16S ribosomal RNA". It matches the Rfam family "Bacterial small subunit ribosomal RNA", at positions 338 to 795 of the family's 1533-position model. The record is from RNAcentral. Lineage: Bacteria; Pseudomonadati; Pseudomonadota; Gammaproteobacteria; Oceanospirillales; Halomonadaceae.
CCUACGGGAGGCAGCAGUGGGGAAUAUUGGACAAUGGGGGGAACCCUGAUCCAGCCAUGCCGCGUGGGUGAAGAAGGCCCUCGGGUUGUAAAGCACUUUCAGUGAGGAAGAACGCCUGGUGGUUAAUACCCAUCAGGAAAGACAUCACUCACAGAAGAAGCACCGGCUAACUCCGUGCCAGCAGCCGCGGUAAUACGGAGGGUGCGAGCGUUAAUCGGAAUUACUGGGCGUAAAGCGCGCGUAGGUGGCUUGAUAAGCCGGUUGUGAAAGCCCCGGGCUCAACCUGGGAACGGCAUCCGGAACUGUCAAGCUAGAGUGCAGGAGAGGAAGGUAGAAUUCCCGGUGUAGCGGUGAAAUGCGUAGAGAUCGGGAGGAAUACCAGUGGCGAAGGCGGCCUUCUGGACUGACACUGACACUGAGGUGCGAAAGCGUGGGUAGCAAACAGGAUUAGAUACCCUAGUAGUC